ACCUGCCACAAAGUUAGCUAGGACUUGCGAUUUCAUCGCCGAUCGUGAAGUGAAAUUUACUACAUAGUGUGACAACUCCGUUGCUUAGUUGCCAAUUCUGCCCGAAGACUUUUGUUUUCAAAAAUGUCUCUCAAAGGAAAAGAGCUUGGCACAGUAAUUGUGUAACUCUGAAAGUAAUGCUUUAGCUCCUUGGAAGCCAUCACGAUUGAAAUAAGCCAUUUUUUCCUUUUGAAAAUAAAACUUCUUCGCACCCUCCAAAGCCUAAGAAACAAAGUAUACUAGUAACUGCUUCAUGUGACCAUCAACUUCUCUUUCUUCUACUAACACUGUGCUCAACGCCAGAUUGGACGCUGAGAUGUACAAUAGCAAUUUUGCUUUCUCCCCCGGGCUUGUCAAAACUACCAUGUUUUCUAGGUGCCCUUCCAACUCCUUGAAAGCUUUCUGCUCUUGCCCCCCCCAAAACAAAUUUGUUCUUUGUUGCCAGUAGCUUUAAGAAAGGUAAACUUCUUUCUGCUGACUUCAAGAUGAAACGCCCGAAAGCUACAAUUCUGCCUGUUAACUUUUGGAUGUCUCCUUUUGUUCUUGGUUGUUUCAUUUUUC
This 600-nucleotide long non-coding RNA is filed under the name Setaria viridis. Its description in RNAcentral is "long non-coding RNA (SVIR_LNC003332)". Lineage: Eukaryota; Viridiplantae; Streptophyta; Magnoliopsida; Poales; Poaceae. The record is from RNAcentral.